CAUUAUCGUACAACCGAGGUGCAAGGGCUGUCGCUGACCUCCAAAGGUUGUGCACGCCCGAGCGCUCUCACACAAUCCAUCUCACACCCCUUUGUGCAUCACCGCGAGGGUCCCAGUGGCUGUAACGGCCCCAAGGUGGGAAUGCGAGGCGAUGUUUUCCCCAACGGAGUCCCGUGCUCGUGCGCCGAGUUCAAGACUGUCCCCUCCAGAAAACUUUGGUGUCCAUCGUCCCUCACAGCGUAGGCUGUGGUCGGAUUUGGAGUAAUCGGCCCUUGUCUAGCCAGGGAAGCAAUUCCGCAGCUAGCAGGACUCACCGAGUUGGUCUUAGGAGAUCAGGGCACGUCAUCUGUCGCGCGGGUGCGCCGUGUCCCUCGUAGACCUUUAUACCUCGCGUUUUCACACAAACCUCUGAUACAGUGUAGAAUGUUAUUUUACCUUUUGCGGUCACACGCAAUCAAUACAACUUUCAACAACGGAUCUCUUGGCUCUCGCAUCGAUGAAGAACGCAGCGAAAUGCGAUACGUAAUGUGAAUUGCAGAAUUCAGUGAAUCAUCGAAUCUUUGAACGCACCUUGCGCCCCUUGGCAUUCCGAGGGGCACACCCGUUUGAGUGUCGUGAAAUCAUCAAAACCUUUUUCUCUUUGAUCCCAAAUUUAUUUUGGUCGGGAAAAGGAUUUUGGACUUGGAGGUUCCAUGCUCGCUUUCUUUUGAAAAGAGCGCAGAGAAAUGCGAUAUGAAAUGAGAAUCGGAGAAUACAGAGUAUCAUAGUUUUUGAAAGCGCCCCUUGCCCCCCUGGACUUUCAGAGGGACACCCCCGUGAGAGUGUGGUGAACAUCUCAACCCUUUUUUCUUUGAUAUCCCAAAUUUAUUUUUGUGGGAAAAAGGAUUUGAGUCGGAGAGUUCACAUUCUCGUUUUUUUGAAAACGCGAGCUCCUCUCAAAUGAAUCAGUGGGGUCCGCUUUGCCGAUCCUUGACGUGAUAAGAUGCUUCUACGUUUUGGAUUUGGCACUGUCCCUUGGAUGCCUGCUUCUAACCGUCCCAUGGACAAAGAUGGUGCUCCGGUCAACCGCCGUCUACGUUGGCGGGGGGAGGCUGGACCCACAAGAAG
This 1107-nucleotide unclassified non-coding RNA is filed under the name uncultured Russula. Its description in RNAcentral is "sequence contains ITS1, 5.8S rRNA gene and ITS2". The stretch from base 462 to 615 matches the Rfam family "5.8S ribosomal RNA". Lineage: Eukaryota; Fungi; Basidiomycota; Agaricomycetes; Russulales; Russulaceae. The record is from RNAcentral.